Molecule: ribosomal RNA, 466 nt
Filed under: uncultured bacterium
Lineage: Bacteria
Description: partial 16S ribosomal RNA
Rfam family: Bacterial small subunit ribosomal RNA
Source: RNAcentral
GACGAACGCUGGCGGCGCGCCUAACACAUGCAAGUCGAACGAUCGAGCGAGAGCUUGCUUUCUUGAGCGAGUGGCGAACGGGUGAGUAACGCGUGAGGAACCUGCCUCAAAGAGGGGGACAACAGUUGGAAACGACUGCUAAUACCGCAUAAGCCCACGACCCGGCAUCGGGUUGAGGGAAAAGGAGCAAUCCGCGUUGUGAUGGCCUCGCGUCCGAUUAUCUAGGUGGUGAGGUAACGGCCCACCAAGGCGACGAGCGGUAGCCGGGCUGAGAGGUUGACCCACCGCAUUGGGACUGAGGCACAGACCCGUCUGCGACGGAACGGAGCGGUAGGGUGUAUUACACGAUGAAGCAAAACGUGGUGCAGCCGCGCCGCGUAGAAGAGGAAGGUCUUCGGAUUGCACACUCCUGUUGUAGGGGGAGAUAAUGACGGUACUCAACAAAGAAGUGACGGCUAACUACGUG